Molecule: transfer RNA, 29 nt
Filed under: Pauridia pygmaea
Lineage: Eukaryota; Viridiplantae; Streptophyta; Magnoliopsida; Asparagales; Hypoxidaceae
Description: partial tRNA-Phe
Source: RNAcentral
UCGGGAUAGCUCAGUUGGUAGAGCAGAGG